This is a long non-coding RNA of Mauremys reevesii (Reeves's turtle), 470 nucleotides long. RefSeq lists it as uncharacterized. The record is from RefSeq and is a predicted model, not a curated record. Lineage: Eukaryota; Metazoa; Chordata; Testudines; Geoemydidae. The transcript is spliced from 3 exons.
GCCUCCUGGUAGUCAGCAGCAGUUGACAAAUGACCUGAUUCCACAGGUGCUUCAAAAUGGAUUCCUUGAGGACCUGUUCCAUGAUUUUGCAUCUGGAUGAGGAUUUUGCCUCCGGGUGGGACCCCUUUGCAAUAAAAAAAUCCAUUAUUUUCUCUGCUUUAGUACCCCCCAAUCUAGAAUGAAUCCACCACCCUUUGAGAAGAAUUUUUCUGGUGUGAUUCAAAACAAUGAAACUUGCACAGAGAUUUCUGGUGCAUAGUAAUAUUCAUUACCUGGCUACCUUUUCAGCAAAAUCAAGCACUGAGGCCCAUUACAGACAACGUGCUACAUAUGCUUACUUUUUACCAAUACAGACAAGCUGGCAGGACAACUAUCAGUAUGGGCAUGUGAACAAUGCUGUCUACUACAGCUAUAUCGACUCUAUAAUCAACCAUUUUUUGAUCAGGUAUGUAUGCUGCUCCUCAGGGACU